GCCGGAGUGGUGGAAUUGGCAGACACGCGGGAUUCAAAAUCCCGUGGGAUUAAUUUCCCGUGUGGGUUCGAGUCCCACCUCCGGUA
Molecule: transfer RNA, 86 nt
Filed under: Fuerstiella sp.
Lineage: Bacteria; Pseudomonadati; Planctomycetota; Planctomycetia; Planctomycetales; Planctomycetaceae
Also listed under: 1 other name
Description: tRNA-Leu
Rfam family: tRNA
About the family: Transfer RNA (tRNA) molecules are approximately 80 nucleotides in length. Their secondary structure includes four short double-helical elements and three loops (D, anti-codon, and T loops). Further hydrogen bonds mediate the characteristic L-shaped molecular structure. tRNAs have two regions of fundamental functional importance: the anti-codon, which is responsible for specific mRNA codon recognition, and the 3' end, to which the tRNAs corresponding amino acid is attached (by aminoacyl-tRNA synthetases). tRNAs cope with the degeneracy of the genetic code in two manners: having more than one tRNA (with a specific anti-codon) for a particular amino acid; and 'wobble' base-pairing, i.e. permitting non-standard base-pairing at the 3rd anti-codon position.
Source: RNAcentral